UAUUGUGGCGGACGGGUGAGUAACACGUGGGAACGUGCCCUUUGGUUCGGAACAACUCAGGGAAACUUGAGCUAAUACCGGAUGUGCCCUUCGGGGGAAAGAUUUAUCGCCAUUGGAGCGGCCCGCGUCUGAUUAGCUAGUUGGUGAGGUAAAGGCUCACCAAGGCGACGAUCAGUAGCUGGUCUGAGAGGAUGAUCAGCCACAUUGGGACUGAGACACGGCCCAAACUCCUACGGGAGGCAGCAGUGGGGAAUCUUGCGCAAUGGGCGAAAGCCUGACGCAGCCAUGCCGCGUGAAUGAUGAAGGUCUUAGGAUUGUAAAAUUCUUUCACCGGGGACGAUAAUGACGGUACCCGGAGAAUAAGCCCCGGCUAACUUCGUGCCAGCAGCCGCGGUAAUACGAAGGGGGCUAGCGUUGCUCGGAAUUACUGGGCGUAAAGGGAGCGUAGGCGGACUGUUUAGUCAGAGGUGAAAGCCCAGGGCUCAACCUUGGAAUUGCCUUUGAUACUGGCAGUCUUGAAUACUGAAGAGGUAUGUGGAACUCCGAGUGUAGAGGUGAAAUUCGUAGAUAUUCGGAAGAACACCAGUGGCGAAGGCGACAUACUGGUCCGUUUACUGACG
Molecule: ribosomal RNA, 620 nt
Filed under: Caulobacter sp.
Lineage: Bacteria; Pseudomonadati; Pseudomonadota; Alphaproteobacteria; Caulobacterales; Caulobacteraceae
Description: bacterial SSU rRNA
Rfam family: Bacterial small subunit ribosomal RNA
Source: RNAcentral